Molecule: long non-coding RNA, 498 nt
Filed under: Mytilus galloprovincialis (Mediterranean mussel)
Lineage: Eukaryota; Metazoa; Mollusca; Bivalvia; Mytilida; Mytilidae
Source: RNAcentral
AUUUGAACCGUUAAAGGAGACGUGACACAAUUUUUUUUUUUUUUUUUUUUUUUUUUUUUAAUUAAUUAAUAAAUAUUGGUCAAAUAACAUAUUGUAAUAAUUUUUUCUUGUCAAAACCUCAUUUAACGGCCUUUUAAUGGUCAAAGAAUCCAGCGCUUGUCGUAAUCUUUGAUUUUUAAUGAGAUACCGGUCACGUGAUCGUGAUGACGUCAGUGGAUACAAUCUGAGAAAAUGUCUCAAAAAGGACGAAGUCGAUCAUAUUCCUGUAAAAUUAAACAAUGGACGGUGUUGACAGCAGUUUUCAAGGCAAUUCUCAAACUUUAGAUAUUCAACCGUAUCAGUUUGAGCCGUUACUUGUUGAAAAUAAUCAAGUAGAAGAUAUAAAUUCGUCAUCCGACAUUGACGAUCUUUCAAGCAAUGCCGAUAUAUCGGCAUUGCUUGAAAGAUCAAUAAUUAAUUUCACCAAAAAUAAAGAGAUAUUUCUUAGAAAUGUUUACG